CCAAGGAGUCUAACAUGUGCGCGAGUCACCGGGUCUUGCCCAGGCUCGGAGGCGGAAUGAAAGUGAAGGCCGAUCUGGGCGUCGGCUGCGGUGUGAUCCGCGGGGCACCUUCCUGUCGUGUCUAUGUAGUCCGGCGGGUAGGCCGCCGGCGGCGCAACACCGGCCCGUCCCGUCCGCCACGUCGGUGGGGCGGAGCGAGAGCGUACACGUUGGGACCCGAAAGAUGGUGAACUAUGCCUGGGCAGGACGAAGCCAGAGGAAACUCUGGUGGAGGUCCGCAGCGAUUCUGACGUGCAAAUCGAUCGUCAGACCUGGGUAUAGGGGCGAAAGACUAAUCGAACCAUCUA
RNAcentral lists this ribosomal RNA (347 nucleotides) under Pseudocellus pearsei. RNAcentral describes it as "eukaryotic LSU rRNA". It matches the Rfam family "Eukaryotic large subunit ribosomal RNA", at positions 666 to 946 of the family's 3401-position model. Lineage: Eukaryota; Metazoa; Arthropoda; Arachnida; Ricinulei; Ricinoididae. The record is from RNAcentral.